RNAcentral lists this ribosomal RNA (492 nucleotides) under uncultured bacterium. RNAcentral's name for it is "partial 16S ribosomal RNA". It matches the Rfam family "Bacterial small subunit ribosomal RNA", at positions 29 to 507 of the family's 1533-position model. The record is from RNAcentral.
AGUGAACGCUGGCAGUAGGCCUAACACAUGCAAGUCGAACGGCAGCACAGUAAGAGCUUGCUCUUACGGGUGGCGAGUGGCGGACGGGUGAGGAAUACAUCGGAAUCUACUUUUUCGUGGGGGAUAACGUAGGGAAACUUACGCUAAUACCGCAUACGACCUACGGGUGAAAGCAGGGGAUCUUCGGACCUUGCGCGAUUGAAUGAGCCGAUGUCGGAUUAGCUAGUUGGCGGGGUAAAGGCCCACCAAGGCGACGAUCCGUAGCUGGUCUGAGAGGAUGAUCAGCCACACUGGAACUGAGACACGGUCCAGACUCCUACGGGAGGCAGCAGUGGGGAAUAUUGGACAAUGGGCGCAAGCCUGAUCCAGCCAUACCGCGUGGGUGAAGAAGGCCUUCGGGUUGUAAAGCCCUUUUGUUGGGAAAGAAAAGCAGCAGGUUAAUACCCCGCUGUUCUGACGGUACCCAAAGGAUAAGCACCGGCUAACUUCGUG